Molecule: ribosomal RNA, 200 nt
Filed under: uncultured bacterium
Lineage: Bacteria
Description: partial 16S ribosomal RNA
Rfam family: Bacterial small subunit ribosomal RNA
Source: RNAcentral
AGAGUUUGAUCCUGGCUCAGGACGAACGCUGGCGGCGUGCCUAAUACAUGCAAGUCGAGCGGAUGGAUUCAGAGCUUGCUCUGAUGAUGUCAGCGGCGGACGGGUGAGUAACACGUGGGUAACCUGCCUGCAGAUCGGGGAUAACGCUUGGAAACGAGUGCUAAUACCGGAUAGGCUCUUGGUUCGCAUGAUCCGAGAGG